Molecule: ribosomal RNA, 984 nt
Filed under: Pullenia subcarinata
Lineage: Eukaryota; Foraminifera; Rotaliida; Nonionidae
Description: SSU rRNA
Rfam family: Eukaryotic small subunit ribosomal RNA
Source: RNAcentral
AAGGGCACCACAAGAACGCGUGGAGCAUGUGGCUUAAUUUGACUCAACGCGGGAAAUCUUACCGGGUCCGGACACACUGAGGAUUGACAGGCAAUAUUAAUACGUCAGUCCGCUGUGUAUUAUGUUAAAUAUGCUAGUCCUUUCAUGAUUAUGUGAUAGGUGGUGCAUGGCCGUUCUUAGUUCGUGGAGUGAUCUGUCUGCUUAAUUGCGUUUCACUAAGGGCCUAUAAUUUUACGUGUGUUGCAGCACUUUGACCCCUCAGCAAUGAGCGCGCGUCUUAGUUUGCUUGCUCGCACAAUUAGGUCCUGAAAGCAACGAACGUGACCGCAACCUCUUGUUGCCUUUAUACCAAACAUGUUUUGUUUAUGUCUUCAUAGAUAUUCAUGAAAAAAGGCUUUUAAACUAGAGGGACCGCUGUUACUUUCUUAAGCCAGAGGAAGGUUGCGGCAAUAACAGGUCUGUGAUGCCCUUAGAUGUUCCGGGCUGCACACGUGCUACAAUGAUUAUUGCAGUGAGCAUCUCAUUUUUACACACCGCAUGCGCGAGUCUAUUUAUUCGUGUUCGCACGUUUUAAAUAUGUAUUUCUGCGCGCGGUAAAGCCUGCUUCGAAAGUAAGUGGGUAAUCAAUUAGAAGUAAUGAUUUCCUUUUUUUUAGCACACAUAUAUACGGCGUCUAUGCCCGGGCUGCCUUGUUGUAGCUUUUGUGCGUAUAGAUGUUUUUUCCGUAUGUGCGAUUGUCAAUUCAUGGUGGGGACAGACCAUUGUUAAUUGUUGGUCUCGGUCUUAACUAGGAAUGCCUUGUACAGGUCUUUGGUUCAACAAACCACCCGGAAUACGUCCCUGCCCUUUGUACACACCGCCCGUCGCUCUUACCGAUGGACUUCUCUGUGAGUUUGAGGGACUGGGAACGCAGAUUUAUCUGCACACCUAUGGAAACUUAAACGAACAGUGUGGUCUAAAGGAAAGAGAAGUCGUAACAAGGCA